AUUGAACGCUGGCGGCAGGCCUAACACAUGCAAGUCGAGCGGAUGAAGGGAGCUUGCUCCUGGAUUCAGCGGCGGACGGGUGAGUAAUGCCUAGGAAUUUGCCUGGUAGUGGGGGAGAACGUCCGGAAACGGGCGCUAAUACCGCAUAAGUCCUGAGGGAGAAAGUGGGGGAGCUUCGGACCUCACGCUAUCAGAUGAGCCUAGGUCGGAUUAGCUAGUUGGUGGGGUAAAGGCCUACCAAGGCGACGAUCCGUAACUGGUCUGAGAGGAUGAUCAGUCACACUGGAACUGAGACACGGUCCAGACUCCUACGGGAGGCAGCAGUGGGGAAUAUUGGACAAUGGGCGAAAGCCUGAUCCAGCCAUGCCGCGUGUGUGAAGAAGGUCUUCGGAUUGUAAAGCCCUUUAAGUUGGGAGGAAGGGCAGUAAGUUAAUACCUUGCUGUUUUGACGUUACCAACAGAAUAAGCACCGGCUAACUUCGUG
This 484-nucleotide ribosomal RNA is filed under the name uncultured bacterium. Its description in RNAcentral is "partial 16S ribosomal RNA". It matches the Rfam family "Bacterial small subunit ribosomal RNA", at positions 30 to 507 of the family's 1533-position model. The record is from RNAcentral.